This 84-nucleotide non-coding RNA is filed under the name Chloroflexota bacterium. Its description in RNAcentral is "Chloroflexi bacterium c-di-GMP sequence". It matches the Rfam family "c-di-GMP-II-GAG riboswitch aptamer". Lineage: Bacteria; Bacillati; Chloroflexota. The record is from RNAcentral.
CGUGUUGCGGGAGGCGAUGACACGCGGUCCACCCCCGGCCGCCGGGACCGUGCGGAGCCACUGGCGAGACCGACCUGCACCGGA